This is a long non-coding RNA of Hibiscus syriacus, 696 nucleotides long. RefSeq lists it as uncharacterized. The transcript is spliced from 4 exons. The record is from RefSeq and is a predicted model, not a curated record. NCBI's taxonomy places the organism in Eukaryota, Viridiplantae, Streptophyta, Magnoliopsida, Malvales, Malvaceae.
UAUGUUCGAAGUAUGGGAGCUUAUGGGAUUGAGUUUAAGGAAGGACCUGACGGUUUUGGGGUCCACGCCUCGAAAGAUGUUGAACCUCUUCGCCGUGCCAGGGUUAUUAUGGAAAUAACUCUGGAAUUGAUGCUGACAAUAAGGCAGAAGCUGCCAUGGAUGUUCUUCCCGGAUAUAGUGCCUUUGGGUCAUCCCAUAUUUGAUAUCAUAAACACUUAAUUAUAUCAGACAAGUCUUCUGCAGUUAUUGUUCAAUUCGGUGAGUGCUCUAGCACACCGUUUAUUUACUGUAACUCAUGUGUAUUCUUUCUUGGCAGACAGAUUGGGAUCUGCGAUUGGCUUGCCUUCUCUUGUAUGCACUGGAUAGGGAUGAUAACUUUUGGCAACUAUAUGGAGACUUCUUACCUAGUGCAGAUGAGUGUACCAGCUUGCUUCUUGCUAAUGAGGAUGACCUCUCACAGCUGCAGGAUCCUAUCCUCAAAUGGCUAAGAAGAUGAGUCCGCAUUUAUCAGGUACCUACAAUCGACCAAGACACCGCAAUCGCUGGCCCGGAACCGAAUGAAACUCUUAUGAAAGUGAGGUCGGAUAUGGUUCUGCGACCGGACAAGAAGCAGCAGGGGAAGGUCAAUUUCGGGCAGAACUUGGUUUGCAAGGAAAGUCUCGCUGAAGGGAAGCCAAAGAUGGUUAAAGCGGGAGA